Non-coding RNA from Megalobrama amblycephala (Wuchang bream), 966 nucleotides. NCBI's taxonomy places the organism in Eukaryota, Metazoa, Chordata, Actinopteri, Cypriniformes, Xenocyprididae. The record is from the annotation of a RefSeq genome assembly.
UCCUGCCCACUUGUUUGCAUUGUGACACAUGCUUCAGUGCUCUGAGAGUGUUUAUAGUGCUGUGAGUUUAACACUUCAUGACUGAGAGCAGAACAGAACACAAUCUUCAUCAUCACACAAGACAAAAGAACAACAAUGAACACAAUCACCUUCUUCAUCUGGACUCUCACACUGUUUGCUCAAGAAUCCAGAGGAGUGACUCUGACUCAACCUGAAGCUAAAACUGUCCAACAGGGUCAAACAGCUACAAUAGAGUGUCAUAUAGAUGUAGGAAUAUACAGCAACUACUUAGCCUGGUAUCAGCAGAAACCUGGAGAAGCUCCUAAACUCCUGAUUUAUGCCAUAAACUACCUUUAUACUGGAACUCCAUCUAGAUUCAGUGGCAGUGGAACAGCAAAUACUGGACGAGAUUUUACUCUGACCAUCAGUGGAGUCCAGACUGAAGAUACAGGAGAUUAUUACUGUCAGAGUGCACACUAUAUCAACAGUAAAUGGGUGUUCACACAGUGAUAAAGAGUGGUACAAAAACCUCGGUCAGUCAGACGUCACAGUGAUGCACUGAUACAGCUGAGAGAUACUGCAGCUGCUGAUGGAGGAUCACAAACAACACAAUGGUGUAUCAAACCUUUCAGAGACUUUAUUUAUUUAUUAUGAGUAAAUAUGUAACAUGCAAUCUUGUAUCCCUUACUAAACUGGACUAAAAUGUGGAGAAAAUGUGAGUGGUGCUCGUCCACUUUACACUAUAAUAUUAUCUGUAUUAUUUACUGUAGGAAAGUCAAUCGCUUUAAUUGCACUUCCACACUUCACCACUAGAGGGUCACAUGUCUUUUACAUAACUGAGUUUUACACACAUUUCCUUUAAGACCGUGACUGCAUCCAAAAUCACAUACUUAGCAGGUGAAACAGUGUGUGACAGAAGAAGUGUGUGUGAAUUCACAGUAUUCAUUAAAGAAGAGGUGAAAAGUA